Neodiprion fabricii is the source of this 905-nucleotide long non-coding RNA. RefSeq lists it as uncharacterized. The transcript is spliced from 5 exons. The record is from RefSeq and is a predicted model, not a curated record. NCBI's taxonomy places the organism in Eukaryota, Metazoa, Arthropoda, Insecta, Hymenoptera, Diprionidae.
AUACAUCAUACAUCAUACAUAGUAUUGAAGUUCGAAAACAAAGUUUGGAUGUUCGGAUGUUCAGAAAGACAAAAUUUUUUUUCUCUUGACGUCUUCAAUCUAUAGUGAUCAGCUAGCCAAAUUCCUCAGUCUGGAAACAACCGCGCGGUAGAGCGGACGUGUGAGAACCGCGCUCCGCAGAUUUCGAGUACCGGGUUCUCUACCUCCUGGAUUCUGCGCUCCGGGUCCGUUUCGUGGUGCUACUCGAGUUCCAGGAGAAGCGCUACGUAAUUCUGGCUGUCCAGGUUCUUGACCUGGUGAUUUUUGACCUUCCGGACUAAUUUUCAAGUUUACAAGUUUGAUUAUUGAAAACGUCAUGUUUUGUACCAUCAAACCAAAAUGCAUGUUUCAGAUAACACUUUGAAUCGGAAAAAACCGAGCGACCAGGACCAACAAAUUGCAAUUGACAAAAAUUACGCACUCCAUCUUUCCGGCCAAUUCGAGAUUCCAGCGACGAGGUGCUUCAAUGACCAACUAAUGAUUUCGCCAUUUUGCGACAAUUGAUGUAUUCGAGGUAUGACCCGAGGUGGUUGGAGGUGGUCGGAAGUGUUUAAGGGAGGUUGCGGGGGAUCGAGGUGGAUGAGGAGAAGGACGGAAAGGAGGAGGAGUAGAUAGAUGAGGAGAAAAAAGUGGACGAGGAGGACGAGGAUAACGAGGAUUUCUGCACUUGAUCGAGGUAUAACCCGAGGUGGUUAGCCGUGGUCGUUAGAGGUGGUUGGCAGCGGUUGGAGGUGAUCGGAGGUGGACGAGGAGGAGGACGAGAAAGACGAGGAUUUGUGCUCGGUAUAACCCGAGGUAGUUCGCGGUGGUUGCGGGUGAUCGAGGUAGGCGAGGAGGAGGACGAGGAUGACGAGGACUUGUACACU